GGAGAGGUGUCCGAGUGGUUUAAGGUGAUAGACUCGAAAUCUAUUGUGCGUUCACGCGUACCGGGGGUUCGAAUCCCUCCCUCUCCGCCA
Molecule: transfer RNA, 90 nt
Filed under: Candidatus Lambdaproteobacteria bacterium
Lineage: Bacteria; Pseudomonadati; Pseudomonadota; Candidatus Lambdaproteobacteria
Description: tRNA-Ser
Rfam family: tRNA
About the family: Transfer RNA (tRNA) molecules are approximately 80 nucleotides in length.
Source: RNAcentral